UUGUGCAUUUGGCAGAAUCCUUUCCUAUCAAUUACGCUCCAUUCAUUAGAGGGAGCAAUGAUGUUCCUGUGGCUAAAUUUGGUGUCCUUUCUAGCGGUCCUCAGAGGUGUUCGAUCUCAGGCCCAGUUGGUGGAAUCUGGAGGGGAUGUGAGAAGACCUGGAGAGUCCCUCCGUCUCUCCUGCCAAGGUUCUGGAUUCACCUUCAGUAAUGCCUACAUGCACUGGGUGAGACAGGCUCCAGGGAAAGGCCUGGAAUGGGUGGCAUAUAUAAAUUACCCUUCCAGUACUAUUCUCUACUCAGACAAAGUGAAAGGCCGCUUCACCGUCUCCAGGGACAAUUCCAAAAGCCAGAUGUAUCUGCAAAUGAACAGCCUCAAAGCUGAAGACACGGCCGUCUAUUACUGUGCAAGAGAGACACAGUGA
Pantherophis guttatus is the source of this 423-nucleotide non-coding RNA. The record is from the annotation of a RefSeq genome assembly. Lineage: Eukaryota; Metazoa; Chordata; Lepidosauria; Squamata; Colubridae.